Molecule: long non-coding RNA, 1240 nt
Organism: Chenopodium quinoa (quinoa)
Lineage: Eukaryota; Viridiplantae; Streptophyta; Magnoliopsida; Caryophyllales; Amaranthaceae
Exons: 5
Source: RefSeq, a predicted model, not a curated record
UCAUCCCUUUUCCAAUCAUAAACAAGCUUGAUCAUCAAAUCAUUCUCUUCUCCCUCUUUAGCCUAAACACUAGCAUCCCCAUUCUUUUACUAUUUCUUCCUUUAAGCACUCCAAGGAGUUCAUACUUUACCUGAAAUUCUAUACUUAAAUCAAGGUGUGAAAGGUAGAAUUAACUGAGGGUUUGGACCAAAUCAACUCUACUUUUUAUUUAAUUUAAUUGUUUCAAUUUGAUUUUUUUUUUUUAUUGAAGUUACUAAUAGUUUAUUCAUGAUGUAGCAAUUUAAAGGAACGUGCAGAAUGAAGUCGCGGUCAAACUCAACCUAGUACAGAGGGGAGACAUGGACAUGAACGAGUUUGACAUGGAGCGCUACAAGCUCAAUAUGAGGCGGAAAAACGGUUAUCCCUAGACAUGCGAAGAAGCGGUCGGCGCCCGCUUUAAAGGAUGAUGAGUCGUCCAAGGCUCGCAAGGUUUCAGCGUCCAGAACGCCAGCGGCCAGGGCUAGGUUGUGGGUUGCAUCGGUGCAACCUAAAGCUGGAACCUAGUGGGGACUCUAAGUCCUCGGAGCCACCUUCGUUCGAGGUGGCCCAAAAUGAACCCGUCCGCAAGGACGGAGGGGAUGUACCGACCCCGGACAACACAGUGGAUCAGGACUCAGCUUUACAUGUUGAGUUUUUGGGAACUAAGCCUUCUGGUUCCCAAACUGAAGGGGAGUUUCCCUCUCCGCUCAAGGCAGCAGAGCAGACUCAGCUGGCGCCUCCUCUAGAGGGGCGUCCGCGCUUUGCAAAUCUCUCAGAAGAGACUUUUGAGGAUUUGGACGUUUGUCCCCCUGGUUCUUCCUUAACUGGGGCCAAAUGCAAGACCGUCCGGGACGCUAUCUAAAAGGUCGUCCUGGUUGAGACUCAGGACAAAUACUGGGGUAUCCAUGAUGGGCACCUCGGUCCCAUGAUCAACAACUGUGAUGAGCUUCUCCUUAGGCUCUGCCUUCCGGGACUGGCGUCUGAGGCAAAGACGUGAGCUCGAGUUGGCCUGGACAGAUCUCCAUAAGCUGCAAGACGAGAAUACCGGCUUGAUGGCCAUAGAGAGGGCUCGUCAUCAAACGGUGAUGAAUGCUCCGUCCGAGAAAAAUACUCGGCACGCUAAGGACAUCGUCAAAAUAGGUGAUUGUAGACACCUAAAUGUGUCCCCCCAAAACCAAACCCAGUGAUGAAUACCUUUCAUGUCAUUUGAUUAUCGAACAAA